UGCCUUCAGUGUUGCCCGUUCGUUUUGGUUGCUAAUGAACGUGGUGUCAGAGAAGGCAUAAAACAAAUCCCCCCCUUGCAGCUUUUUCCUAAGCUAGGAAUUGUUCCUAGCAGGCUUGCUGUAUGUGGGACAUCU
Small nucleolar RNA from Podarcis muralis (Common wall lizard), 135 nucleotides. Ensembl annotates it as small nucleolar RNA SNORA13. The record is from Ensembl. Lineage: Eukaryota; Metazoa; Chordata; Lepidosauria; Squamata; Lacertidae.